Molecule: ribosomal RNA, 325 nt
Filed under: uncultured bacterium
Lineage: Bacteria
Description: bacterial SSU rRNA
Rfam family: Bacterial small subunit ribosomal RNA
Source: RNAcentral
GACGAACGCUGGCGGCGUGCUUAACACAUGCAAGUCGAACGGAGCGCCCCUGAAAGAGUUUUCGGACAAUGGAAGGGAACGCUUAGUGGCGGACUGGUGAGUAACGCGUGAGGAACCUGCCUUUCGGAGGGGGACAACAGUUGGAAACGACUGCUAAUACCGCAUGACACAUGACUGUGGCAUCGCAGACAUGUCAAAGAUUUUAUCGCCGAAAGAUGGCCUCGCGUCUGAUUAGCUAGUUGGUGAGGUAAUGGCUCACCAAGGCAACGAUCAGUAGCCGGACUGAGAGGUUGGCCGGCCACAUUGGGACUGAGAUACGGCCCAG